CUGCAAAUAUUCUUGUUGUUCUGAUUUUUGUCACCAUCAGGGUAAGCUCAACAUUUGCUAUAUUAAGACCAUGCAUGUGUCCCCAGACUUAGUUCUUUUCCUAGGUCUGGUUUUAUAAAUGCUGGAGAUAAAA
This 133-nucleotide small nucleolar RNA is filed under the name Suricata suricatta (meerkat). RNAcentral describes it as "Small nucleolar RNA SNORA72 (ENSSSUG00005019074.1)". It matches the Rfam family "Small nucleolar RNA SNORA72". From Rfam's summary of the family: U72 is a member of the H/ACA class of snoRNAs. The snoRNA gene is located in intron 4 of the ribosomal L30 protein gene in human, mouse and chicken. Lineage: Eukaryota; Metazoa; Chordata; Mammalia; Carnivora; Herpestidae. The record is from Rfam by way of RNAcentral.